AAAGAAUAAAAAGAAACUUUGUUGUUUAAUUUAAUUCAACUUAAAAUUAAUAUGAAAGAAAAUACGAAAAAUAUCUAUUUGAAAACCCCCCUUGUUUUUUUUAUUGUAUCUAAUUUUUUCUAUUUUCCUUCUUCAGUUUAGAAGAAAAGAAGAAAGAGUGACCUUAGAAUGUCAUUUACUUUUUUUCCUUUGAUUUUAAUCCAUUAGAUUUAGUAGUAGGAGUUUCCAUUCUUCUAAUAUAUACAACGAGAAGAAAGAGGGUAUCAGAUCACUCGAAACUGGUAUUCCGCCGUUUUUUUCUUUCCCCUUUUCUAUUUAUAAUUUUAAUAAAAAAAAGCUUUAUCCUUGUAAUUAAGCCAAGAAAGAACCUUUUUUGUGUCUAAUACAAGAACAACUAAUCAACUUUUUCUUCCAUCAAAUAGUAUUUAAUUUAUUACCGCUAUUAUUGUUACUGAACGACUAACCAAUUCCACUCUUUAAAAUUAAAUAAAAGGGAGUAGGUUCCAACAAAAAAAACAUCUUUGACAAUCACAAAAAAGUAUAUUUCUAGAUUUCACAUCUAAUUGAAUUGUAGAAAUAUGAUAAUUUCCUUCCUGAAUUAUUAGAAACCAAUCGGUCGGAUUACCAUUUUAAUUGAUUCUCAGUUUCGAGUAUAGUGCGAAACUAAUAAUAAUAGAAUAAUGUCGAGAACCCUAAUUUUAGAGUAUAAAAAAAUUCUUAUACUCUCAUUUAGUACAGUACAUCGAGACAACCAAACCAACAAGCAAAGAAGAAAAAAAUUAUCUAGUCCUUAAUCUCGCCACUUAUUGUGAAAUUGAAUUGCUGUAUCAGAAGAAGGAUAGCUAUACUGGUUCGGUAUACUCGAAAGACACCCUUGG
This 878-nucleotide long non-coding RNA is filed under the name Lupinus angustifolius (narrow-leaved blue lupine). RNAcentral's name for it is "long non-coding RNA (LANG_LNC003744)". The record is from RNAcentral. Lineage: Eukaryota; Viridiplantae; Streptophyta; Magnoliopsida; Fabales; Fabaceae.